AGGCUGAAACUCGCCUAUAUGAAGUCGGAAUUGCUAGUAAUCGCAGAUCAGCAUGCUGCGGUGAAUACGUUCCCGGGCCUUGUACACACCGCCCGUCACACCAUGAGAGUCGAUAACACCCGAAGCCUGUAGUCUAACCAUAAGGAGGACGCAGUCGAAGGUGGGAUUGAUAAUUAGGGUGAAGUCGUAACAAGGUAGC
RNAcentral lists this ribosomal RNA (199 nucleotides) under uncultured bacterium. Its description in RNAcentral is "partial 16S ribosomal RNA". It matches the Rfam family "Bacterial small subunit ribosomal RNA", at positions 1302 to 1500 of the family's 1533-position model. The record is from RNAcentral.